CUUGGAGGGCUCUCUGCUUGAUGGUAAGCCAGCUGUAUGUUUUUUGACGCAUCGUUACUUGUUGAUGGAGCACCUUAUUGUAGACCCCGCUGAACUACACAGAAGCGCACCAUGGAAUACAAAGGUGCAGGGCGAGCGAGGCCUUUUUUUUUGUUUUGAGGAGGGGUGGGGUGCGGUACGCAGCACAACUAAUAGAUGCUUGAUGUGUAU
Molecule: non-coding RNA, 210 nt
Filed under: Heterosigma akashiwo
Lineage: Eukaryota; Raphidophyceae; Chattonellales; Chattonellaceae
Source: RNAcentral